This is a long non-coding RNA of Photinus pyralis (common eastern firefly), 909 nucleotides long. RefSeq lists it as uncharacterized. Lineage: Eukaryota; Metazoa; Arthropoda; Insecta; Coleoptera; Lampyridae. The record is from RefSeq and is a predicted model, not a curated record. The transcript is spliced from 2 exons.
CAGAUUUAAAUUAUUAAUGAAAGUCUGCUAACUUUUAGGUAACGGUUUGCGUGAAACAGCCUGUGGGAUGACAGGUAAUUUCAGGACAUACUCGUAAGCUAUCAAUGGGCAAAAACUUUAUGCGAUGCAAAAACAGAAUUCCAAAAUACAUCAUUAUCGUUGACACACAGACGGACGAACACACACAUUUUAUAUUGUGGCAACACAUAAAAAACUCUUCAACGCAUGCGCCCUUUCGUGCUAUGUACAUGGACGGCCAAGUGAUAGCGAGAAAAGCGAGAGGUCUCCUACACCAAUUUAGACAACUUAGAGAAAUUCCGUGCACGCUGUCAGGCCUUUGCAUGCGAUGCGGCCCAGGCAUAUGGGACAGUUCGCAUAGUCCAAGGGUAUACUGCACCGGACACGAAAAUGGAUACUGUCCGAACAUUAAUUAAUCAAAUCGCACGCAUGUACAAAGAGCAUUUGUUCGCCCGAAAAAGUAUUAUUUUUAAACAAUUUAGCCUAGAUGAAUAAAUAAAUAUAAGCUAUAUUGUUGAUGUUAAAAGAACUAUUAUCUAUCAGCUCAUGACCAUAUCAUUAUUCACUUGAUGGAUUGGUGACAUGCUGGGUUUGUGAUUUGUCAUUCGGACGCGGUGCGAGUUUUUGACAAUAAGAUGCUUGGUGUCUUCAUUUCUCAGUGUUUUUGCAGUAUGCGUUCACUUAAUACCUAUUAGCAUGCAUGCAGUUUUCCAAUCACUAUUUACAGUUAUAGUGCAGACUCAGAGUGUUGCUAUGUGAGAGUUCCAUCAUAUUGUACCUACAUGUAAAAUAUCAUAUCUCUGUACACAGUUUGUUUUAUAUUUAUUACUAAAUUAUAUAUUGUAAAUGAUAUUAGCUAUUAAAUAAAUAUAUUCAUCACAUACACUUUAA